Molecule: long non-coding RNA, 965 nt
Organism: Myiozetetes cayanensis
Lineage: Eukaryota; Metazoa; Chordata; Aves; Passeriformes; Tyrannidae
Exons: 4
Source: RefSeq, a predicted model, not a curated record
AGGAACCUUUGGACUUCAUCCCUGUGAUGAAAUCAGCUACAAGCAGGGAGUUAAUGUUUGAUGAAGAUCACACAAACUGCACAAGAAAACCAUGUGCAAGGCCUUCUCUUCCUCCUUAUUUGCUUUACAAGUCCUCAGAUUCGCUGCUGCUGGAGAUGUGGCCCAGGUUCAUUCUCUUACUCUCAACAGCACCACAGGCUCCUACUCCUCAGGGCCACCACCUACGCCUGCAGAGUGCUGAGGACACCCUGUCCUUGCAUCCCACUGACCUCGUGCAAAACAAAGCAGGAAUCAUUGAAUCCCAGCUGAAAACGCCUCAACAGGUGGAAGGUAUGUCUGCAAGGACACACGUAUUGUCAGCCUGGGCCCGUAUCCUCUGGGCUGGAGCCAGGAUCAGGGAUUAGCUGAACUCCCAAGCAGACCUGUCUAGGAUGGUGGAGCUUCAUGGACAUUUCUGCACAUGGAUUAAAGGCAGUUUUCCAAGGUCCCUAUUAUGGUGAUGUUAUCCAACCAAGGAGCAGUGAAGUCUGCCAAGCUGCAGCACUGCAGAGCCUGGGAUGAGCACCCUCGACCACUGUCAGAGACGGGUUGUACAGUUUCUGCCCAUACCUAAGUCCAAAGGUCUAAGUCAUUUCAAAUGAGAUGGGAUCACAAAAAUCCCAUCUUCAAAUUGGAGGAAAAAAUAUACCUGAAUCCCAUCUAUUUUCCUUACCGUCAUCACUGCUUUGAAAAUGCAAGUACUGACAAUUUCAGGAGACCCAGCAUCGGCAAGAGAGAAUAAACAUCCUGCUUGUUACAGAUAUUUUCAGUGCUAUCAAUUUGAUUUGUCCCAAAUAGGGCUAGAAGAGGAGACAUCAAAAAGAGCAAGAUGUAUACUCCAGCACUCCUUUCUUCGCUGACCCCACUUCAGCCAUCUCAGAGUUAUUUGCAGCAAUGCUUCAAGUAUGUUCCUCAGAUAGAUGAGC